UAAACUUACCAUGGUGAUCUUGAUUGCAGGUUACGAUGAUUUUGUAUGAGGUGCUGAGGCUUUAUCCGCCGGUGGUAGCUCUUGGCCGGAGAGCCAGUGAGGAAACCAAGUUGGGGAAAUAUACCUUACCAGCCGGAGUUCAGCUUUCACUGUCAACUAUUGUAUUACAUCACGACACGAAAAUUUGGGGAGACGAUGCGAUGGAGUUCAAUCCAUGGAGAUUCAGUGAAGGAGUGGCCAAGGCACAAAAGGGUCCAGGUAUAUUUUCCCUUUUGGCUGGGGACCUCGAAUAUGUAUAGGGCAAGUGUUUGCAAUGCUGGAGGCGAAAAUGGCGAUGGCCGUGCUUCUAAGAAGCUUCUCGUUCGAGCUUUCUCCGGCGUAUACGCAUGCGCCUCUCAAUUUGAUUACUACUCAACCUCAGCAUGGUGCUCACCUGCUCCUGCACAAGCUCUAGAUUUUCAGCGUUGUAUAGCUAUUAUUGUUAUAGUUGUUUCAUAAUUCUUCAACAUAUAGCUCUUCUUGAUGCAUAAUAUAUUGUAUAGCCCUUUUGAUAUUUGGACUUUAUAUUGCCAUAAAAACAAUAGUUAUAAGUAUUUUUAUAUAUUUUUUAUUAGAGUUCGUAGAGUUUGUCUUUACUAUAGCUAUGCAUGUUUAAUCUCCGUGCCCAAAAUAAUGGGACAUUUGUAAUGAGACGAAGGGAGUAUAAUAUAUGGAUGAUUUGGUGCAAAUCUAGUUUGUGUGCAAAAUGUAUUUAAACCAAAGUUUGUGAUCUUACAUGCAUUGCAUUUAAUCCUUUAAAUAAAACUAAUAGUUCUAAUGUACUAUAAAAGUGACAAUUCUUAUUAAUAAGAUGAUAGUUAUUCUUAAAAAAUUAACAAUAACUCAAAUAAUAAUAUCAUUUUUUUAUGAUUAAAGUGAUACUUACUGAUAUAAAAAGUGAUAAUUGUCGUAUAUAAAAAUAAAUAGAUUAAAAUUCAAAUAAAAUUUCAUAUCAGGUCUGACAGAAUCCACCACGCUCGCGGCUCUAGAAUAAACAAAAGAGCAAAAUUCGCAAUUUAUCACCAAUUCAUAAUAGUAUUCCAUAAUAAGAUUUAAUUUGUCAUUUUCAUUCGUUCGUAAAAGUAUAUCGUAACAUAUUUUUAGUAAUAUUUUAAUAAUAAUUUGAUUAAUUUGUAGACUUAUUUCUUCUACUUAUUGUACUUGUAUUAGUUUUUUUUUUUUUUUUCAUUUUCUAAGUUCGUGGUUCUUUUUCUCCAUUUUAUUAAAUAAAUAAAAUAUAGUUUUUUUUAACUAUUCGUCCCAUUCCAGAUUUUAUUUUUGUGAACGUCUUAUGCCUUAUCAUUUUCACGUGUGUCUCGUAGAAGCCCAUAAUUCGAAGCUUUUGAUUUUUCGCAAAAAAUUAUGAGUCGUUUUAUCCAUAUACUUCAAGAAACUCAGAAUCCCACCCACACAACAAUCAACAUAUACUUCAAAUAGUAAGAGCUCAGUUAGCCUACCGAUCAAAACGAAAAAUGGAAGCUCUGUGUCAAGUAUUUGCGUCUGCUUUGGCGCUUGGCGGCGUUGAUAUACACAUGGAAAUUACUGAGUUGGGCCUACAUCACGCCCAAGAGGCUGGGAGAAGCCCUCAGGAAGCAGGGGUUCAAAGGUAAUGCCUACAAAUUGGUGUAUGGCGACUUGAAGGAACUGACGCAGUUGAGCAUGGAAGCCAGGAGCAAGCCCAUCAAUCUUGAUGAUGAUAUCAAGAAUAGAGUUGCGCCCUUUAUCGUCAACACUAUUCACAAACAUGGUAUGCUGUAUUUCUUGUUAUUUAUUAGAAUCUUGCUCUGAUUGGAUGUUGAGGUAGAGACAUGAGGGUUUGAUUAAUAUCUUUGAUUUCUAUGUCACCAUAUGUUGGAAAAAUGAAGUCUUGUAGCAUGAUUAGAAACGAAUUGGUUAAAUUGUUUAAGAAUUUAAGAUGGGGAGUGGAUAUGGUUGCAGUAUUACCAUGUGCAAUUCAAUGAUUUUCAGUGAGUUCAUAUCAAAUUUAGUUUUGUUAAGUGAUAAAUGAUGUCAGUGAGUUCAUUGAGUGAGCUUUCUUCACAAUUUUGUUGAAUGUAUCAAUUGAUGAAUGCUCAGCUAUCUUGAAUUCAAUUUGCAGCAUCAAAAUGAAUUUCUUGUUUUCUUAUUUGGGUAAAUAUCGAUUUAUCUAGGAAAUGAGUCGUUUGUUUGGCUUGGGCCAAGGCCUUCCAUUAUCCUUACUGAUCCAGAGCUAGUUAAGGAGGUGCUGAGCAAGAGUUAUCUGUACCUGAGGCCGGAGAACAGGAAUCCGAUGACGAAGCUGCUGCUACAAGGACUUGCGAGCUAUGAGAAAGAUGAAUGGGCCAAGCACAGGAAAAUCAUCAACCCUGCUUUCCAUCUUGAGAAAUUGAAGGUUUUCUAUUGCAAAAUCUUGUUUUGUGUUUUCUUAUAGUUGAGAAAUUGAAGUGUUUUUGGCCAAAUUAGAAGCAAUUUUUUGAAGAUUCUGUUAUAGGAUAAUGUGUUGAGAUAAGCAUGCUUUUUUCUUACUAUUGCUCGGGCGCAGCUCAUGAUUCCGGCCUUCUAUAUGAGUUGUGAUGAAGUUCUGAAAACGUGGGAAAAGAAUGUUUCAUCGGAAGGAUCUUAUGAGGUGGAUGUAUGGCCUUAUUUACAAAAUCUAACGGGCGAUGCAAUAUCAAGAACUUCAUUCGGUAGCAGCUACCAAGAAGGGAGGAGAAUAUUCGAGCUUCAAAGAGAACAGGUUGAGCACAUCAUCCAAGCUCUGGGCUCUGCAUACGUUCCGGGAUUGAGGUAAUUAAUUACAUUACGAAUCACCAAAACUAAAAUCUUUACUGCAAAAGUUAGAUCCCAUCAAGAUAGUAGUUCUAUGUAGCUACAUAGUGUAAUGAGCUUCUCUAUUUUCGUGUGCGAUGUGUUUUCACAAUGCUGUAGAUUCUUGCCCACCAAAAGGAACAGGAGAAUGAAACAAAUUGAAAGAGAAGUUCAGUCAACAAUUCGAGGCCUCAUUAGUAAAAGGAUGGAGGCUAUGAAGACGAGGGAGGCUAGACAUGAUGAAGACUUACUAAGUAUAUUGUUGGCGUCCAACUUCCAAGAAAUCGAGGAAGGUGGUAACAAGAGUUUCGGGAUGACCAUAGAUGCAGUAGUAGAGGAGUGCAAGCUGUUCUAUUUCGCUGGGCAGGAGACUACCUCCGUGUUGCUUGUUUGGACACUGGUUUUACUGAGUAGAUAUCCCGACUGGCAGACACGAGCCAGGGAAGAGGUCAUGCAAGUCAUUGGUAACCGAACGCCAGAUUUUGAUGGCCUGAAUCAGCUCAAGAUUGUAAGUAGCUUCGUAUCAAACAUGUUAAUCUUAUUGAGUAAACUUACCAUGAUGAUCUUGAUUGCAGGUUACGAUGAUUUUGCACGAGGUGCUGAGGCUUUAUCCACCGGUAAUAGCUCUUGGUCGGAGAACCAGCGAGGAAACCAAGUUGGGGAAAUAUACCUUACCAGCCGGAGUUCAGCUUUCACUGCAAAUUAUUGUAUUGCAUCACGACACGAAAACUUGGGGAGACGAUGCGAUGGAGUUCAAUCCACAGAGAUUCAGUGAAGGAGUGGCCAAGGCGCAGAAGGGUCCAGGUUUAUUUUACCCUUUUGGCUGGGGACCUCGAAUAUGUAUAGGGCAAGUGUUUGCAAUACUGGAGGCGAAAAUGGCGAUGGCCGUGCUUCUAAGAAGCUUCUCGUUCGAGCUUUCUCCGGCAUAUACGCAUGCGCCUCUCAGUUUGAUUACUACUCAACCUCAGCAUGGUGCUCACCUGCUCCUGCACAAGCUCUAGAUUUUCAGUGUUGUAUAGCUAUUAUUGUUGUAGUUGUUUCAUAAUUAUAUUCUUCAACACAUAGCUCUUCUUGAUGCAUAAUAUAUUGUAUAGCCCUAAACCCAAAUCCUAAACCCUUUUGAUAUUUGGACAUUAUAUUGCAAUAAAAACAAUAAAA
Molecule: long non-coding RNA, 3984 nt
Filed under: Salvia miltiorrhiza (redroot sage)
Lineage: Eukaryota; Viridiplantae; Streptophyta; Magnoliopsida; Lamiales; Lamiaceae
Description: long non-coding RNA (SMIL_LNC006117)
Source: RNAcentral